UAGGGAAUCUUCCGCAAUGGGCGAAAGCCUGACGGAGCAACGCCGCGUGAGUGAUGAAGGUCUUCGGAUCGUAAAACUCUGUUAUUAGGGAAGAACAAAUGUGUAAGUAACUAUGCACGUCUUGACGGUACCUAAUCAGAAAGCCACGGCUAACUACGUGCCAGCAGCCGCGGUAAUACGUAGGUGGCAAGCGUUAUCCGGAAUUAUUGGGCGUAAAGCGCGCGUAGGCGGUUUUUUAAGUCUGAUGUGAAAGCCCACGGCUCAACCGUUGAGGGUCAUUGGAAACUGGAAAACUUGAGUGCAGAAGAGGAAAGUGGAAUUCCAUGUGUAGCGGUGAAAUGCGCAGAGAUAUGGAGGAACACCAGUGGCGAAGGCGACUUUCUGGUCUGUAACUGACGCUGAUGUGCGAAAGCGGGGGGAUCAAACAGG
Molecule: ribosomal RNA, 429 nt
Filed under: Actinomycetes bacterium
Lineage: Bacteria; Bacillati; Actinomycetota; Actinomycetes
Description: Actinobacteria bacterium partial 16S ribosomal RNA
Rfam family: Bacterial small subunit ribosomal RNA
Source: RNAcentral